This 253-nucleotide ribosomal RNA is filed under the name uncultured bacterium. RNAcentral describes it as "partial 16S ribosomal RNA". It matches the Rfam family "Bacterial small subunit ribosomal RNA", at positions 524 to 776 of the family's 1533-position model. The record is from RNAcentral.
UACGUAGGUGACAAGCGUUGUCCGGAUUUACUGGGCGUAAAGAGCGCGCAGGCGGUCGAUCAAGUCGAGUGUGAAAGCCCCCGGCUCAACUGGGGAGGGUCAUUCGAAACUGGUCGACUCGAAGGCAGGAGAGGGUAGUGGAAUUCCCGGUGUAGUGGUGAAAUGCGUAGAUAUCGGGAGGAACACCAGUGGCGAAGGCGGCAUCCUGGACCAACACUGACACUGAGGAGCGAAAGCCAGGGGAGCAAACGGG